UGCAAGUCGAACGAACCUUCGGGUUAGUGGCGGACGGGUGAGUAACGCAUGAGAAUCUGCCCUCAGGAGGGGGAUAACGGUUGGAAACGACCGCUAAUACCCCAUAUGCCUACUGGUGAAAUGAAUUUCGCCUGAGGAUGAGCUCGCGUCUGAUUAGCUAGUUGGUGAGGUAAUGGCUCACCAAGGCUUCGAUCAGUAGCUGGUCUGAGAGGAUGAUCAGCCACACUGGGACUGAGACACGGCCCACACUCCUACGGGAGGCAGCAGUGGGGAAUUUUCCGCAAUGGGCGAAAGCCUGACGGAGCAACGCCGCGUGAGGGACGAAGGCCUCUGGGCUGUAAACCUCUUUUCUCAAGGAAGAAGAUAUGACGGUACUUGAAGAAUAAGCCACGGCUAAUUCCGUGCCACCAGCCGCGGUAAUACGGGAGUGGCAAGCGUUAUCCGGAAUUAUUGGGCGUAAAGCGUCCGCG
RNAcentral lists this ribosomal RNA (470 nucleotides) under uncultured bacterium. RNAcentral's name for it is "bacterial SSU rRNA". It matches the Rfam family "Bacterial small subunit ribosomal RNA", at positions 56 to 573 of the family's 1533-position model. The record is from RNAcentral.